Molecule: non-coding RNA, 442 nt
Organism: Oreochromis niloticus (Nile tilapia)
Lineage: Eukaryota; Metazoa; Chordata; Actinopteri; Cichliformes; Cichlidae
Source: the annotation of a RefSeq genome assembly
AGUGGACUGACUAAGUUAAACAAGAUGGUCUUUAGCACAGUGCUACUAAUUUUGACUGUCUGCUGUGCAGGUCUUCAUGGGCAGACUCUGACAGAAUCUGGACCAGUGGUUAAAAGGCCUGGAGAAUCCCACAGAUUGACCUGUACAGCCUCUGGAUAUAACUUUGGUGGCUACAGUAUGCACUGGAUUAGACAGGCUCCUGGAAAAGGACUGGAGUGGAUUGCUUAUAUUAGCAGCAGUGGGGGAACCACUUACUACUCUCAGUCAGUCCAAGGCCGUUUUAUCAUCUCCAGAGACAACAGCAGACAGCAGCUGUAUCUGCAGAUGAACAGUCUGAAGACUGAAGAUUCUGCUGUUUAUUAUUGUGCUCGAGACUCACAGUGACUAAUUUGUUUAAGCAGCUGUACAAACUCCUACAGCCCUUUAUGCUGUAUUUAUCUUG